GAUGAAGAACGCAGCGAAAUGCGAUAAGUAGUGUGAAUUGCAGAAUUCAGUGAAUCAUCGAAUCUUUGAACGCACAUUGCGCCCCUUGGUAUUCCAUGGGGCAUGCCUGUUCGAGCGUCAUUUGUACCUUCAAGCUCUGCUUGGUGUUGGGUGUUUGUCUCGCCUCUGCGUGUAGACUCGCCUCAAAACAAUUGGCAGCCGGCGUAUUGAUUUCGGAGCGCAGUACAUCUCGCGCUUUGCACUCAUAACGACGACGUCCAAAAGUACAUUUUUACACUCUUGACCUCGGAUCAGGUAGGGAUACCCGCUGAACUUAAGCAUAUCAAAAGCGAGGA
This 335-nucleotide unclassified non-coding RNA is filed under the name soil metagenome. RNAcentral describes it as "partial contains 5.8S ribosomal RNA, internal transcribed spacer 2, and large subunit ribosomal RNA". The stretch from base 1 to 120 matches the Rfam family "5.8S ribosomal RNA", at positions 35 to 154 of the family's 154-position model. The record is from RNAcentral.